This 465-nucleotide ribosomal RNA is filed under the name uncultured bacterium. Its description in RNAcentral is "partial 16S ribosomal RNA". It matches the Rfam family "Bacterial small subunit ribosomal RNA", at positions 338 to 795 of the family's 1533-position model. The record is from RNAcentral.
CCUACGGGAGGCAGCAGUGGGGAAUCUUGCGCAAUGGGCGAAAGCCUGACGCAGCGACGCCGCGUGAGUGAUGAAGGUCUUCGGAUCGUAAACCUCUGUCAGCAGGGAAGAACGGUCACUGUGCUAAUCAGCCGUGAAUUGACGGUACCUGCAAAGGAAGCACCGGCUAACUCCGUGCCAGCAGCCGCGGUAAUACGGAGGGUGCGAGCGUUAUUCGGAAUUACUGGGCGUAAAGCGCUCGUAGGCGGUAUGUCAAGUCAAGGGUGAAAUCCCCGCGCUCAACGUGGGAACUGCCGUUGAAACUGGGAAACUGGAGGGUGUGAGAGGAGAGUGGAAGUCCAGGUGGAGGAGUGAAAUCCGUAGAUAUCUGGAGGAACAUCAGUGGCGAAGGCGACUAUCUGGCACAUAACUGACGCUGAGGAGCGAAAGCGUGGGUAGCAAACAGGAUUAGAUACCCUAGUAGUC